GAGUUUGAUCAUGGCUCAGGAUGAACGCUAGCGGCAGGCUUAACACAUGCAAGUCGAGGGGUAGUUACUUUCGGGUAAUGAGACCGGCGCACGGGUGCGUAACGCGUAUGCAAUCUACCUUUUACAGGGGAAUAGCCCAGAGAAAUUUGGAUUAAUGCCCCAUGGUAUUAUAGAGUGGCAUCACUUUAUAAUUAAAGUUCCAACGGUAAAAGAUGAGCAUGCGUCCCAUUAGUUAGUUGGUAAGGUAACGGCUUACCAAGACGAUGAUGGGUAGGGGUCCUGAGAGGGAGAUCCCCCACACUGGUACUGAGACACGGACCAGACUCCUACGGGAGGCAGCAGUGAGGAAUAUUGGACAAUG
This 361-nucleotide ribosomal RNA is filed under the name uncultured bacterium. Its description in RNAcentral is "bacterial SSU rRNA". It matches the Rfam family "Bacterial small subunit ribosomal RNA", at positions 9 to 373 of the family's 1533-position model. The record is from RNAcentral.